RNAcentral lists this ribosomal RNA (497 nucleotides) under uncultured bacterium. RNAcentral's name for it is "partial 16S ribosomal RNA". It matches the Rfam family "Bacterial small subunit ribosomal RNA", at positions 28 to 507 of the family's 1533-position model. The record is from RNAcentral.
GAUGAACGCUGGCGGCGUGCCUAAUACAUGCAAGUCGAGCGAACAGAUGAGGAGCUUGCUCCUCUGACGUUAGCGGCGGACGGGUGAGUAACACGUGGAUAACCUACCUAUAAGACUGGGAUAACUUCGGGAAACCGGAGCUAAUACCGGAUAAUAUAUUGAACCGCAUGGUUCAAUAGUGAAAGACGGUUUUGCUGUCACUUAUAGAUGGAUCCGCGCCGCAUUAGCUAGUUGGUAAGGUAACGGCUUACCAAGGCAACGAUGCGUAGCCGACCUGAGAGGGUGAUCGGCCACACUGGAACUGAGACACGGUCCAGACUCCUACGGGAGGCAGCAGUAGGGAAUCUUCCGCAAAGGGCGAAAGCCUGACGGAGCAAUGCCGCGUGAGUGAUGAAGGUCUUCGGAUCGUAAAACUCUGUUAUUAGGGAAGAACAAAUGUGUAAGUAACUAUGCACGUCUUGACGGUACCUAAUCAGAAAGCCACGGCUAACUACGUG